Canis lupus familiaris (dog) is the source of this 101-nucleotide non-coding RNA. Lineage: Eukaryota; Metazoa; Chordata; Mammalia; Carnivora; Canidae. The record is from Rfam.
AUCGUUUUGCAGUUCGUAAGCACAAUGAUUGCGUGUUCAGUUAUGUGAUGUCCGCCUCUCUCAAACCUUGUUUUGACCUCUGCCCAUUUUACCGUUGGGUC